Molecule: ribosomal RNA, 459 nt
Filed under: uncultured bacterium
Lineage: Bacteria
Description: partial 16S ribosomal RNA
Rfam family: Bacterial small subunit ribosomal RNA
Source: RNAcentral
CCUACGGGAGGCAGCAGUGAGGAAUAUUGGUCAAUGGACGAGAGUCUGAACCAGCCAAGUAGCGUGAAGGAUGACUGCCCUAUGGGUUGUAAACUUCUUUUAUAUGGGAAUAAAAUGUUCCACGGGUGGGAUUUUGUAUGUACCAUAUGAAUAAGGUUCGGCUAACUCCGUGCCAGCAGCAGCGGUAAAACGGAGGAUCGGAGCGUUAUCCGGAUUAUUUGGGUUUAAAGGGUGCUAGGGCGGAGCGUUAAGUUACUGGUAAAAGUGAGGGGCUAAACCCCGUCCCGCCAUUGAAACUGGCGCGCUUGAGUGGAAGGGAAGUAUGCGGAAUGCGUGGUGUAGCGGUGAAAUGCAUAGAUAUCACGCAGAACCCCGAUUGCGAAGGCAGCAUGCCGGCUCCCGACUGACGCUGAAGCACGAAAGCGUGGGGAUCGAACAGGAUUAGAUACCCCUGUAGUC